UGACGUUGGGAAAGCGAGCGGCGGAUGGGUGAGUAACACGUGGGGAACCUGCCCCUAAGUCUGGGAUACCAUUUGGAAACAGGUGCUAAUACCGGAUAAUAAAGCAGAUCGCAUGAUCAGCUUUUGAAAGGCGGCGUAAGCUGUCGCUAAGGGAUGGCCCCGCGGUGCAUUAGCUAGUUGGUAAGGUAACGGCUUACCAAGGCGACGAUGCAUAGCCGAGUUGAGAGACUGAUCGGCCACAUUGGGACUGAGACACGGCCCAAACUCCUACGGGAGGCAGCAGUAGGGAAUCUUCCACAAUGGACGCAAGUCUGAUGGAGCAACGCCGCGUGAGUGAAGAAGGUUUUCGGAUCGUAAAGCUCUGUUGUUGGUGAAGAAGGAUAGAGGUAGUAACUGGCCUUUAUUUGACGGUAAUCAACCAGAAAGUCACGGCUAACUACGUGCCAGCAGCCGCGGUAAUACGUAGGUGGCAAGCGUUGUCCGGAUUUAUUGGGCGUAAAGCGAGCGCAGGCGGUAAAA
This 519-nucleotide ribosomal RNA is filed under the name uncultured bacterium. RNAcentral's name for it is "bacterial SSU rRNA". It matches the Rfam family "Bacterial small subunit ribosomal RNA", at positions 78 to 583 of the family's 1533-position model. The record is from RNAcentral.